AACGUAGGACACAAGCGUUAUCCGGAGUUACUGGGCGUAAAGGGCGUGUAGGCGGACCUAUAAGUCUAUUCUGAAAGCUCCUGGCUAAACUGGGAGAGGCGAAUGGAGACUGUAGAUCUAGAGUGAGGAAGAGGAAAGUGGAAUUCCGCGUGUAGCGGUGAAAUGCGUAGAUAUCGAGAGGAACACCUGCGGCGAAGGCGGGUUGCUGGGCUGAUACUGACGCUGAGGCGCGAAAGCCAGGGGAGCGAACGGG
RNAcentral lists this ribosomal RNA (253 nucleotides) under uncultured bacterium. RNAcentral's name for it is "partial 16S ribosomal RNA". It matches the Rfam family "Bacterial small subunit ribosomal RNA", at positions 524 to 776 of the family's 1533-position model. The record is from RNAcentral.